RNAcentral lists this ribosomal RNA (477 nucleotides) under uncultured bacterium. RNAcentral describes it as "bacterial SSU rRNA". It matches the Rfam family "Bacterial small subunit ribosomal RNA", at positions 365 to 832 of the family's 1533-position model. The record is from RNAcentral.
UUCGCAAUGCCCGAAAGGGUGACGAAGCGACGCCGCGUGCGGGAAGAAGGCCUUCGGGUUGUAAACCGCUGUCGGGAGUUAGGAAGUGCAAGGAUGUUAAUAGCGUUCUUGCUUGACUAAGGCUCCGGAGGAAGCCACGGCUAACUCUGUGCCAGCAGCCGCGGUAAUACAGAGGCGGCAAGCGUUGUUCGGAAUUAUUGGGCGUAAAGAGCACGUAGGCGGCUAUGUAAGUCGGUUGUGAAAGCCUUCCGCUCAACGGAAGAACAGCAUCCGAUACUACAUGGCUUGAGUGCGGGAGGGGAGAGUGGAACUUCUGGUGGAGCGGUGAAAUGCGUAGAUAUCAGAAGGAACGCUGGCGGCGAAAGCGGCUCUCUGGCCCAUAACUGACGCUGAGUGUGCGAAAGCUAGGGGAGCAAACGGGAUUAGAUACCCCGGUAGUCCUAGCCGUAAACGAUGGGCACUAAGUAGAGGGGUUUU